This 596-nucleotide ribosomal RNA is filed under the name uncultured bacterium. RNAcentral describes it as "bacterial SSU rRNA". It matches the Rfam family "Bacterial small subunit ribosomal RNA", at positions 56 to 618 of the family's 1533-position model. The record is from RNAcentral.
UGCAGUCGACGGAGUCGUUGUAAUGAAAUGGAAUGGACAGAGAACUUGUUCGAAGAAAGUUGAAGUAGACUUACAACAAUGGCUUUAGUGGCGGACUGGUGAGUAACGCGUAAGGAACCUGCCUUUUAGAGGGGAAUAACAAUGAGAAAUCAUUGCUAAUACCGCAUAUGCCGAGAGAAUCACAUGGUACAAUCGGGAAAGGAGCAAUUCGCUAAAAGAUGGCCUUGCGUCUGAUUAGAUAGUUGGUGGGGUAACGGCCUACCAAGUCGACGAUCAGUAGCCGGACUGAGAGGUUGAACGGCCACAUUGGGACUGAGAUACGGCCCAGACUCCUACGGGAGGCAGCAGUCGGGAAUAUUGCGCAAUGGAGGAAACUCUGACGCAGUGACGCCGCGUAUAGGAAGAAGGUUUUCGGAUUGUAAACUAUUGUCGUUAGGGAAGAGAAAGGACAGUACCUAAGGAGGAAGCUCCGGCUAACUACGUGCCAGCAGCCCGCGGUAAUACGUAGGGAGCGAGCGUUAUCCGGAAUUAUUGGGUGUAAAGGGUGCGUAGACGGGAAGAUAAGUUAGUUGUGAAAUCCCUCGGCUUAGCUGAGG